UACGAAGGGGGCUAGCGUUGCUCGGAAUCACUGGGCGUAAAGGGUGCGUAGGCGGGUUUUUAAGUCAGGGGUGAAAUCCUGGAGCUCAACUCCAGAACUGCCUUUGAUACUGAAGAUCUUGAGUCCGGGAGAGGUGAGUGGAACUGCGAGUGUAGAGGUGAAAUUCGUAGAUAUUCGCAAGAACACCAGUGGCGAAGGCGGCUCACUGGCCCGGUACUGACGCUGAGGAGCGAAAGCGUGGGGAGCGAACAGG
This 253-nucleotide ribosomal RNA is filed under the name uncultured bacterium. Its description in RNAcentral is "partial 16S ribosomal RNA". It matches the Rfam family "Bacterial small subunit ribosomal RNA", at positions 524 to 776 of the family's 1533-position model. The record is from RNAcentral.